This 552-nucleotide ribosomal RNA is filed under the name uncultured bacterium. RNAcentral's name for it is "bacterial SSU rRNA". It matches the Rfam family "Bacterial small subunit ribosomal RNA", at positions 777 to 1327 of the family's 1533-position model. The record is from RNAcentral.
AAUAGAUACCCAGGUAGUCCACGCCGUAAACGAUGAGUGCUAAGUGUUGGGGGGUUUCCGCCCCUCAGUGCCGCAGCUAACGCAUUAAGCACUCCGCCUGGGGAGUACGGUCGCAAGACUGAAACUCAAAGGAAUUGACGGGGGCCCGCACAAGCGGUGGAGCAUGUGGUUUAAUUCGAAGCAACGCGAAGAACCUUACCAGGUCUUGACAUCCCGGUGACCACUAUGGAGACAUAGUUUCCCCUUCGGGGGUAACGGUGACAGGUGGUGCAUGGUUGUCGUCAGCUCGUGUCGUGAGAUGUUGGGUUAAGUCCCGCAACGAGCGCAACCCUUAUUCUUAGUUGCCAUCAUUCAGUUGGGCACUCUAAGGAGGCUGCCGGUGAUAAACCGGAGGAAGGUGGGGAUGACGUCAAAUCAUCAUGCCCCUUAUGACCUGGGCUACACACGUGCUACAAUGGACGGUACAAACGGUUGCCAACCCGCGAGGGGGAGCUAAUCCGAUAAAACCGUUCUCAGUUCGGAUUGUAGGCUGCAACUCGCCUACAUGAAGCC